This 1098-nucleotide long non-coding RNA is filed under the name Lupinus angustifolius (narrow-leaved blue lupine). Its description in RNAcentral is "long non-coding RNA (LANG_LNC003289)". Lineage: Eukaryota; Viridiplantae; Streptophyta; Magnoliopsida; Fabales; Fabaceae. The record is from RNAcentral.
UCGUUUCCAUGGUACACAUACAUUUUCUUAUGUACAUGUGCAACUGGCUUUUGAGACAAGUAGUCCCAUUAUACUUCUUGAAAUCCAACAUCUUAAACUUGGUUGGAAGCACCACAUCUGAAAUAAUGCACAUUCCAAAAGCAUUCUUUACAUAUGAGGAACUUGCUCCUUCAAUUUCCUUUAGCCUCUCCUUUACCCUGACCUUAGGAGUAAUUCUUGUAAUGUGGGUCAUAAGUAGUGUCCCCGUUGAACCUACGAUGUGCCUGAGUAUGGUUGUAAUGCAUCAUCGUGUUUGUUGUGUUCCUUGGUGGAAGACCAAGGUGGGACCCUCAUCUUUCCUAGUGAUGUCUACAUGUUGUUCCUGGUGAGGAGCUUCCUCAUGUGCAUCCUCACAGAGAAGAUUAUAGUUAGGUGGUAGACCAUAAAUAGGUCAUUUCAUUUCAGCUUCCAGGUGGUGGCUGGCCUCAGCAGUCAUAUUUAGAUCUAACCUCGGUGCAUACUUAGAGGUGGUUGUUGGCUAUAAGGUUGUCUGAUGCCUAAAGUAGAGGUAUUCUCAUCCGAGCGUUUGGUCUUUUGUACGCCUUAGAUAAGCUUCAUCAUCUCUUUCAUAUGUUCUUUCAGGUUAGUGAGUUGUGACUUAAUUUUUCAUAUGUUCUCUCAAUGGUUGACAAUACCUCAUUAUGAAAUUUAUUUUUUAUUUAAGACGAGAAAAAAGUAAAAUGCAUGAAACAAAAAUUAAAUUUCUUUUUGUUGACAAACUUGUAUAGUAAGACACUUCGACCCGCAUAUGAUGACUUUGAGGACUACCCCGCUAACUCUUCAUGCACUGAUGACAAUUCUUAGUCUCUGACCAUGAUUACAUAUAAGUUUGAUCUCUUGUUGUAGAUUACUAGUAUUAAAUAAUUUGUCCUUCAUUUGGUGAUUAGUGGGCGUACCCGACAAAGCCGCAUAUAGUAGAUGACAACCAUUAGAGAAAAUAUAAAGUUUUGGACCAAGAUUUCGUUUAAAUACAUGAUAUUUUGACCCUUCCAAGAUAAUCUUUACUUAUUAUUGGAUAGAGGGACCCAAUUUUGCCUUUACAUACAUUACUAGAAAGAG